UUGUUUUAUUUUUAUUAAGUUUCAAAAGUUUUAUUUUGGCUUGGAUAUUAUUUAUUUUUAUUUAUAUUAUAAGUAAUUUAUUUUUUAUAUAGUUAAAAUAAUUUAGUUAAUAAUUUUAGUUUAAUAUUUUUUAAUGGAUAAAUUAGGAAUAUAAAAAAAUUUUAAUUAAAUUUGUGCCAGCAAUUGCGGUUAAACAAAUAAAGUAAAGUAAUAAAUUCUAAAUGUAAUAAAUUAUUUUUUUAUUAAUUUAGGUUUAAUUUUAUUAAGUGAAAUUUUAAUGUUAAAAAUAUUUAAUUAUUUAUAAUGACUUUAUGAAAUUUUAAAAAAAAACUAGGAUUAGAUACCCUAUUAUUUUAUUUUGUAAAUUAAAAAUUUAAAAUAUUAAAAGUUUAAGAUCUUGAAAAUUAAAAAAUUUGGCGGUAUUUUAUUCAAUUCAGAGGAAUCUGUAGUAUAAUUGAUAAUCCACGAUUUAUUUUACUUUUAAUAAUGUUUGUAUAUCGUCGUUUUAAAUGAAUAUUUUAUUAGAAUAAAAAUAUUCUAAUAUUUUAUAUAAAAAAUUUAUUUCAGAUCAAGGUGCAGUUUUUAAAAGAAACUAUGGAUUACAAUAUUAAAUUUAAAAUUUAGAUUAAAAAUUUAAAUAAACUUUAUGAGAGAGGAUUUGGUUGUAAGAUUAAAAAAUUUAUAAUCUGAUAAUUUGCUCUAAAAUGUGCACAUAUUGCCCGUCAUUUUCAUUUAAAUUGGAACAAGUCGUAACAUAGUAGAUGUACUGGAAAGUGUAUCUAGUAG
RNAcentral lists this ribosomal RNA (786 nucleotides) under Rhagonycha satoi. Its description in RNAcentral is "12S ribosomal RNA". Lineage: Eukaryota; Metazoa; Arthropoda; Insecta; Coleoptera; Cantharidae. The record is from RNAcentral.